RNAcentral lists this ribosomal RNA (667 nucleotides) under uncultured Inocybaceae. RNAcentral's name for it is "eukaryotic LSU rRNA". The stretch from base 282 to 435 matches the Rfam family "5.8S ribosomal RNA". The record is from RNAcentral. Lineage: Eukaryota; Fungi; Basidiomycota; Agaricomycetes; Agaricales.
UAGAGGAAGUAAAAGUCGUAACAAGGUUUCCGUAGGUGAACCUGCGGAAGGAUCAUUAUCGAAAUAAACCUGAACAGGCUGUUGCUGGUCCUAGACAUGUGCACGCUUGUCGUCUUUAUUUUUCCAACUGUGCACAUAUUGUAGACCUGGAAGCUAUUAUUUUUAUCGUCGUGAUAGAUUGAGGAUUGCUGCAUGUCGGCUUUACCUUGUGUUUCUAGGUCUAUGUCUUUUACAUUUCACACAUAAAGUGUCGAGUAUUGGGGAAUAACAAAAAUAUAUACAACUUUCAGCAACGGAUCUCUUGGCUCUCGCAUCGAUGAAGAACGCAGCGAAAUGCGAUAUGUAAUGUGAAUUGCAGAAUUCAGUGAAUCAUCGAAUCUUUGAACGCAUCUUGCGCUCCUUGGUAUUCCGAGGAGCAUGCCUGUUUGAGUGUCAUCAAGUUCUCAACCACACCUGGUGUGGCUUGGAAUUGGGGGUUUGCAGGCAUUUUAUUGUCGGCUCUCCUGAAAAGCAUUAGUGGUAUUCAACUACUGGAGGUGUGAUAAAUGUCUAUGCCUCGGGUAUAUAUGAUUUUGCAUACUGCUUCUAAUUUGAAUUUUGAGUGGCCCUUUAUAAACUUGACCUCAAAUCAGGUAGGACUACCCGCUGAACUUAAGCAUAUCAAUAA